This 552-nucleotide ribosomal RNA is filed under the name Bifidobacterium longum subsp. infantis. RNAcentral describes it as "bacterial SSU rRNA". It matches the Rfam family "Bacterial small subunit ribosomal RNA", at positions 146 to 711 of the family's 1533-position model. The record is from RNAcentral. Lineage: Bacteria; Bacillati; Actinomycetota; Actinomycetes; Bifidobacteriales; Bifidobacteriaceae.
UCUCCUGGAAAACGGGUGGUAAUGCCGGAUGUUCCAGUUGAUCGCAUGGUCUUCUGGGAAAGCUUUCGCGGUAUGGGAUGGGGUCGCGUCCUAUCAGCUUGACGGCGGGGUAACGGCCCACCGUGGCUUCGACGGGUAGCCGGCCUGAGAGGGCGACCGGCCACAUUGGGACUGAGAUACGGCCCAGACUCCUACGGGAGGCAGCAGUGGGGAAUAUUGCACAAUGGGCGCAAGCCUGAUGCAGCGACGCCGCGUGAGGGAUGGAGGCCUUCGGGUUGUAAACCUCUUUUAUCGGGGAGCAAGCGUGAGUGAGUUUACCCGUUGAAUAAGCACCGGCUAACUACGUGCCAGCAGCCGCGGUAAUACGUAGGGUGCAAGCGUUAUCCGGAAUUAUUGGGCGUAAAGGGCUCGUAGGCGGUUCGUCGCGUCCGGUGUGAAAGUCCAUCGCUUAACGGUGGAUCCGCGCCGGGUACGGGCGGGCUUGAGUGCGGUAGGGGAGACUGGAAUUCCCGGUGUAACGGUGGAAUGUGUAGAUAUCGGAAAAGAACACCA